GACGAACGCUGGCGGCGUGCCUAAUACAUGCAAGUCGAGCGAAUCAAAGGGAGCUUGCUCCCUGAGGUUAGCGGCGGACGGGUGAGUAACACGUGGGCAACCUGCCUAUAAGACUGGGAUAACUUCGGGAAACCGGAGCUAAUACCGGAUAAUUCAUAUCUACUCAUGUAGGUAUGCUGAAAGACGGUUUACGCUGUCACUUAUAGAUGGGCCCGCGGCGCAUUAGCUAGUUGGUGAGGUAACGGCUCACCAAGGCGACGAUGCGUAGCCGACCUGAGAGGGUGAUCGGCCACACUGGGACUGAGACACGGCCCAGACUCCUACGGGAGGCAG
RNAcentral lists this ribosomal RNA (333 nucleotides) under uncultured Bacillota bacterium. RNAcentral describes it as "bacterial SSU rRNA". It matches the Rfam family "Bacterial small subunit ribosomal RNA", at positions 28 to 351 of the family's 1533-position model. The record is from RNAcentral. Lineage: Bacteria; Bacillati; Bacillota.